This 350-nucleotide ribosomal RNA is filed under the name uncultured bacterium. Its description in RNAcentral is "partial 16S ribosomal RNA". It matches the Rfam family "Bacterial small subunit ribosomal RNA", at positions 338 to 686 of the family's 1533-position model. The record is from RNAcentral.
CCUACGGGAGGCAGCAGUGAGGAAUAUUGGUCAAUGGGCGCAAGCCUGAACCAGCCAAGUCGCGUGAGGGAAGACGGUCCUAUGGAUUGUAAACCUCUUUUGUCGGGGAGCAAAAGACGCCACGCGUGGCGUUCCGAGAGUACCCGAAGAAAAAGCAUCGGCUAACUCCGUGCCAGCAGCCGCGGUAAUACGGAGGAUGAGAGGGUUAUCCGGAUUUAUUGGGUUUAAAGGGUGCGCAGGCGGCAGAUCAAGUCAGCGGUAAAAUUGAUAGGGUCAACCGCGUCGAGCCGUUGAAACUGGUUUUCUUGGGUGAGUGAAGAGUAAGCGGAAUGCGUGGUGUAGCGGUGAAA